GGUGGCUCAAUGGUAGAGCACUUGCCUUGCAUGCAUGAGGCCAUGGAUUCGAUUCCUCAGCACCA
Molecule: transfer RNA, 65 nt
Filed under: Dipodomys ordii (Ord's kangaroo rat)
Lineage: Eukaryota; Metazoa; Chordata; Mammalia; Rodentia; Heteromyidae
Rfam family: tRNA
About the family: Transfer RNA (tRNA) molecules are approximately 80 nucleotides in length. Their secondary structure includes four short double-helical elements and three loops (D, anti-codon, and T loops).
Source: Rfam by way of RNAcentral